GCGAUUAGUACAAACUCAAUAUUUCUUUAAUUUAGAGAUGAUUCCAGAAUUACUAUGAUAUUGAUUGAUAAAUAAAAGCUUUAGUUAUAAUUAUAACGGAGUUGUAGAUUAUUUAACUAAAAUAAUAAUAAUUAAUUGGGUGACAAAAUUUAACGGGUUGGAUUUGUAACUCCCGAGGCAAACAAGGCCUAGUAUAUAUAAACUCUCUAACAUUUAUAUAUCCCACAGACGUGGAUAUGACAGGAUUUGUGCUUUACCUGGGUUUCCGGUGGCAAGCUUU
RNAcentral lists this unclassified non-coding RNA (280 nucleotides) under Hevea brasiliensis (rubber tree). The record is from RNAcentral. Lineage: Eukaryota; Viridiplantae; Streptophyta; Magnoliopsida; Malpighiales; Euphorbiaceae.